Molecule: long non-coding RNA, 329 nt
Organism: Manduca sexta (tobacco hornworm)
Lineage: Eukaryota; Metazoa; Arthropoda; Insecta; Lepidoptera; Sphingidae
Exons: 2
Source: RefSeq, a predicted model, not a curated record
UCUGGCAUUCUGCAGGAUACGCUAUCAAAAUGAAGUUGACAACGUGUGUGUUGAUAAUUUGUUUCAUUGCUUUGGUGAACAGUGAAGAGAAAUGUCGAGAUGAUGAAUACGAUCCAGGACCCGACUGCCCCAGGCCAGAACCGUCAUGCACGUCACCUAUUGCGAAUGCCCAUCCAAAGUACGCAUGCGUGUGUUGGUGCAAGCCUGGACUCUAUAGGGAUGCGAACACCUCAGCCUGCGUCGAAUCAUGCGAAAGUUACUGGGGGGGGUAAUGAGUAAUUGGAAUUGUCGAAUACUUAUUUAAAAAUAUAUUUUUUUUUUUUGUAUAA